AUUGAACGCUGGCGGCAGGCCUAACACAUGCAAGUCGAGCGGAUGAAGGGAGCUUGCUCCUGGAUUCAGCGGCGGACGGGUGAGUAAUGCCUAGGAAUCUGCCUGGUAGUGGGGGAUAACGUCCGGAAACGGGCGCUAAUACCGCAUACGUCCUGAGGGAGAAAGUGGGGGAUCUUCGGACCUCACGCUAUCAGAUGAGCCUAGGUCGGAUUAGCUAGUUGGUGGGGUAAAGGCCUACCAAGGCGACGAUCCGUAACUGGUCUGAGAGGAUGAUCAGUCACACGGGAACUGAGACACGGUCCAGACUCCUACGGGAGGCAGCAGUGGGGAAUAUUGGGCGAUGGGCGAAAGCCUGAUCCAGCCAUGCCGCGUGUGUGAAGAAGGUCUUCGGAUUGUAAAGCACUUUAAGUUGGGAGGAAGGGCAGUAAGUUAAUACCUUGCUGUUUUGACGUUACCAACAGAAUAAGCACCGGCUAACUUCGUG
RNAcentral lists this ribosomal RNA (484 nucleotides) under uncultured bacterium. RNAcentral describes it as "partial 16S ribosomal RNA". It matches the Rfam family "Bacterial small subunit ribosomal RNA", at positions 30 to 507 of the family's 1533-position model. The record is from RNAcentral.